UUACCAAAUGAUACGAUGUUUUCACUCUUCACUCUUCAGACAGCUGAUGGCGUCAAUGUUCUUCUCCAAGGUUACUUAACAACAGGACACUCACUGUUGAAAAUGGGUUUUCCUCUCAGGUCUUUCGGCAUUUCUGUUUCGGCUUUCCUCCUGAUUGGGAAGAAUGUGGAACCAAGUUUCUGAAUAGUAACUGUGAAACGCGGCAGAGCCUCCGGUGUCUCAAAAUGAAUGCCGGCCUAUUUUCUUAUCAUUGCCAGUAGAUGAUGGUGUUAAUAAUUUGAAGAAUGAUGACUCAAAGAAUCUUUCACCACUAUCGAGAUGUCGUGUAAAUGAUGUAAGUUGGGUGAAAGAUAGUGUGGUGGUACCAGCAAAACCUUCUGGUCACCAUGUGGAUGUGGCACUAUCUUCUGAAAAGAUAGGCAGCAAGAAAAGCAAGACCAGGUCCUUUGGAAAGUUGAUGGCUAAAAGGUCAAGUAGUUUAGAAAGAAUCAGCUUCAAGAAUGAUGCAUCGGGGGAAUGCUCAGCACUCACGGAUUAUAAUGUGGGCAAUAUCACUAAAUCAAACUUUGACCAGACACUGUCUGUUAGAACUUCAGGUGUGGUACUGGCUGUAUCCUUAGAAGUGAUCUCGAGUUCAAAGUAAAAGAAAAGGGAAAAUGAGGGAAACCAGGAUGGACUGAAGAGAAGUGAUUUCUCAAUGCCAUCUUUGCCUCAAGGCCCUCAGGUUAUGCUAAGAUGCAUUGAAAAUAAUACUACACCAGGGCCGUCUCUUUCUAGAUCUCCGACUCGGGGAGAUUCUGAUAUUUUAAAUCAAUCUGAUAAAUGUCUCGUGGAAAACUCUGUGUUUUCCAGCAUGCGGUCAGGUGCGGAAGCAAAUAUCAUUAGUCCAUCCAUGGAAGAAACAGAGACAUUGGAUGCUAAUCUCAUUGAUUCUGGACAUAGGAAAAGCACUGCCUCUGUGACAAAUCUGAUAAAUAUACCGAUACAGAAAUCAGUCUCUGGACAUUCAGUGAGGUACAAAGCCAAAAGGUUGAAAUCAGUUGAAGGUAAACCGAAGAGAAAUUCAGGCACAACUCUUGAUAUAGCAGAGGCAAUGUUGAGAGCUUCAAGAAAGAUGAAUACACUGUCAGGAAAUUCAAAAAGUAAAGAGUAGAAAGAAACAAUAGCUGUUGAGAAAGGAGGUUUGUCCAUGAAGCAAGCUAGAAGGAAAGUUAUUUUUGAUGCCGAUGGGUUGAAUCUAAGACUCAGAAGAGCAAAAGAGAGUAAAUAAAACCACAGUUUCCUUUAUCUUGGGGCAAUCAAUAAUCACCAUGGAGCAAAGCCAUUAGUUUGGGAGGGGAGGAAUGGAGAGCUUAUGGAAAGAUGGUGAUGGGAAACAAAGGGCUAAAGGAGGUAAUUGUAAAUAAAUAAAUCUGAAUAUGGUGGUAAAUGCAGAUUGCACACUUUUGCAUCAGAAUAAGCAUCAAUAAUCUACCAUCAAACUAGGUAUGAAGAUUAGUUAGAAGAGUAAGGCAGAUGACAGAAGGCACAGCUUUUGGUACGGUGCAAUUGCUGGUUGAUUUCCAUGCUACUUAAAUCAUAAAUUUUUGAAGAUUAGUUAGUGAUCUCUUAUUCUCUACUCUUUUUUGUUUUUCAAAGCU
Molecule: long non-coding RNA, 1640 nt
Organism: Populus euphratica (Euphrates poplar)
Lineage: Eukaryota; Viridiplantae; Streptophyta; Magnoliopsida; Malpighiales; Salicaceae
Exons: 3
Source: RefSeq, a predicted model, not a curated record